Molecule: transfer RNA, 103 nt
Filed under: Promethearchaeota archaeon
Lineage: Archaea; Promethearchaeati; Promethearchaeota
Description: Candidatus Lokiarchaeota archaeon (microbial mat metagenome) tRNA-Thr
Rfam family: tRNA
About the family: Transfer RNA (tRNA) molecules are approximately 80 nucleotides in length.
Source: RNAcentral
GCCCCUGUAACUCAGGGUGGUAGAGUGUCAGAUUCGUAAUCUGUUAGCCGGGGGUUCAAAAAAAAGGACCGCUUCGGUCUCAUUGAAAUUCCCCCCAGGGGCU